UGAAAACAAAGGCUUACUAUACAAAGAAAUAGAGAACAGAGUUUGUAAUCGUAAGUCAUAGAGUUUCUUGCAUUCGCCUGUUCCCUCGCCAUACUCCAACCACCAGAACUGCAGACACACAGUCUCUUUCGUUCCAAUUCUCCUUCUCCCUUGAAAAAUUCAAUUCUUUUCUCUGUCUUCCUUAAAAGCAAAAACCUUAGCCAUUGCUCAGCCUCCACCCAUGUACUGCGGGGAAAAAAUCAAGUGGUUGGAAGUAAAGCCUCAGUCCCAAUCAACCCGAUUAAAAGGAAAAAAAAAAAGAAAAAAUCAAAAACUUCCGAUUCCCAUGUAUCCAUAGUUUGCAAUCAGAGAAUGUCUUUCAAUUCUCUACCGGUACAAUCACUUUAGUCAUGGGCACAAUUUGAUGUGUUUUGAUGUCUGUGUUUGUUGUUCACAAGUAGAGGGAUAUCACUCCACUGGAUGUGAAUGGCAAUGUUGGGGUCUCAAACAAAGAUGGUGAGAUGAAGAAGUUUUAAGACAAAGAACAUGAAGCUGACAACAACCAAGUUGCCUUCUCCACCAAAUUUCUUCCAAGGUCAAAGAGUUCACAAAUCACAGUGAUUGAGGUAUGAUGAGGCCUGAAAUCAAGAUGAAGUGCAUUGUCCCAGUUGUUAUGGCUAGAAUGCUUGGUUAUGCACAUUUUGAUUGGUAUGCCAAUUGAUAUAUUGGUGAUGCUAGUGUUAGGUAGCCUAUAAACUGAUGGUUAUGCAUGAAGGGUGUUUGGAAGGGAAGUUUCAAUCUAUUGAAAGACUAAGGGAAACCAAUCAGCAAAAAGCUACUGUUCAUCAUGUCAGACAGGUUCAUGGGUUCAAUUUCUUUAGUUGAAGAAGUAUUAAGACGAAGAUGGACAACAAUCUUGCUUCUCCACCAAUUUGCUUCCAAGGAAGGAUGAUCACACCAUUCUCUUUAGUUGGAUUUUUUUUUUUUUUUUUCAAUUGCUAGAAAUAUUUUUCUCUCCAUCAUAGUUGAUGUUAUAAUUUUAGUUGUUUAGAAUAGGCUUAAAAGAAAAUCUAUUUGUAAGACAGCACAUAUUUUUAUGGAUAGCAUACUAAGUGCUAUAUACAUUUUAAAUUUGAAAUUCAU
Long non-coding RNA from Quercus lobata, 1122 nucleotides. RefSeq lists it as uncharacterized. The transcript is spliced from 7 exons. Lineage: Eukaryota; Viridiplantae; Streptophyta; Magnoliopsida; Fagales; Fagaceae. The record is from RefSeq and is a predicted model, not a curated record.